RNAcentral lists this ribosomal RNA (473 nucleotides) under uncultured bacterium. RNAcentral's name for it is "bacterial SSU rRNA". It matches the Rfam family "Bacterial small subunit ribosomal RNA", at positions 335 to 799 of the family's 1533-position model. The record is from RNAcentral.
ACUCCUACGGGAGGCAGCAGUGGGGAAUAUUGCACAAUGGGCGCAAGCCUGAUGCAGCCAUGCCGCGUGUAUGAAGAAGGCCUUCGGGUUGUAAAGUACUUUCAGCAGUGAGGAAGGCGGGUACGUUAAUAGCGUGCCGUUGAUCGUUAUGCUGCAGAAGAAGCACCGGCUAACUCCGUGCCAGCAGCCGCGGUAAUACGGAGGGUGCGAGCGUUAAUCGGAAUUACUGGGCGUAAAGCGCAUGCAGGUGGUUUGUUAAGUCAGAUGUGAAAGCCCGGGGCUCAACCUCGGAAUAGCAUUUGAAACUGGCAGACUAGAGUACUGGUAGAGGGGGUAGAAGUUUCAGGUGUAGCGGUGAAAUGCGUAGAGAUCUGAAGGAAUACCGGUGGCGAACGGCGGCCCCCUGGACAGAUACUGACACUCAGAUGCGAAAGCGUGGGGAGCAAACAGGAUUAGAUACCCUGGUAGCUACG